GAGCCCGUAGCUCAAUGGUAGAGCGUUCGACUCAAAUACCAAAGGUCGCGGGUUCAAAAACAACGAGCCCGUGGCUCA
Molecule: non-coding RNA, 78 nt
Organism: Schistocephalus solidus
Lineage: Eukaryota; Metazoa; Platyhelminthes; Cestoda; Diphyllobothriidea; Diphyllobothriidae
Source: Rfam